UACGUAGGGAGCAAGCGUUGUCCGGAAUCAUUGGGCGUAAAGCGCGCGUAGGCGGCCCGAUAAGUCCGCUGUGAAAGUCAACGGCUCAACUGUUGGAUGCCGGUGGAUACUGUCGGGCUAGAGUACGGAAGAGGCAAGUGGAAUUCCUGGUGUAGCGGUGGAAUGCGCAGAUAUCAGGAGGAACACCUAUAGCGAAGGCAGCUUGCUGGGACGUUACUGACGCUGAGACGCGAAAGCGUGGGGAGCAAACAGG
RNAcentral lists this ribosomal RNA (253 nucleotides) under uncultured bacterium. RNAcentral describes it as "partial 16S ribosomal RNA". It matches the Rfam family "Bacterial small subunit ribosomal RNA", at positions 524 to 776 of the family's 1533-position model. The record is from RNAcentral.